UUGUCCUACGGGAGGCAGCAGUGGGGGAUAUUGCACAAUGGGGGAAACCCUGAUGCAGCGACGCCGCGUGGGUGAAGAAGCGCCUCGGCGCGUAAAGCCCUGUCAGCAGGGAAGAAAAUGACGGUACCUGAAGAAGAAGCCCCGGCUAACUACGUGCCAGCAGCCGCGGUAAUACGUAGGGGGCAAGCGUUAUCCGGAUUUACUGGGUGUAAAGGGAGCGUAGACGGAAAGGCAAGUCAGAAGUGAAAGGCGGGGGCCCAACCCCCGGACUGCUUUGGAAACUGUAUAGCUGGAGGGCAGGGGAG
Molecule: ribosomal RNA, 305 nt
Filed under: uncultured bacterium
Lineage: Bacteria
Description: bacterial SSU rRNA
Rfam family: Bacterial small subunit ribosomal RNA
Source: RNAcentral